GGGUGUAGCUCAGUGGGAGAGCACAUGCUUCGCACGCAGGAGGUCCUGGGUUCAAUCUCAGGUACGUCCA
This 70-nucleotide transfer RNA is filed under the name Camelus bactrianus (Bactrian camel). It matches the Rfam family "tRNA". Rfam says of the family: Transfer RNA (tRNA) molecules are approximately 80 nucleotides in length. The record is from Rfam by way of RNAcentral. Lineage: Eukaryota; Metazoa; Chordata; Mammalia; Artiodactyla; Camelidae. RNAcentral also lists the same sequence under 2 other names.